Molecule: ribosomal RNA, 429 nt
Filed under: Bacillota bacterium
Lineage: Bacteria; Bacillati; Bacillota
Description: Firmicutes bacterium partial 16S ribosomal RNA
Rfam family: Bacterial small subunit ribosomal RNA
Source: RNAcentral
UGGGGAAUUUUGGACAAUGGGCGAAAGCCUGAUCCAGCAAUGCCGCGUGUGUGAAGAAGGCCUUCGGGUUGUAAAGCACUUUUGUCCGGAAAGAAAUGGCUCUGGUUAAUACCUGGGGUCGAUGACGGUACCGGAAGAAUAAGGACCGGCUAACUACGUGCCAGCAGCCGCGGUAAUACGUAGGGUCCAAGUGUUAAUCGGAAUUACUGGGCGUAAAGCGUGCGCAGGCGGUUGUGCAAGACCGAUGUGAAAUCCCCGAGCUUAACUUGGGAAUUGCAUUGGUGACUGCACGGCUAGAGUGUGUCAGAGGGGGGUAGAAUUCCACGUGUAGCAGUGAAAUGCGUAGAGAUGUGGAGGAAUACCGAUGGCGAAGGCAGCCCCCUGCGAUAACACUGACGCUCAUGCACGAAAGCGUGGGGAGCAAACAGG